Molecule: long non-coding RNA, 439 nt
Organism: Scophthalmus maximus (turbot)
Lineage: Eukaryota; Metazoa; Chordata; Actinopteri; Pleuronectiformes; Scophthalmidae
Exons: 2
Source: RefSeq, a predicted model, not a curated record
AGAAGAAGAAGAAGAAGAGACUAACAGGUUGUUUAAAACACUAGCGACAUCUAACGGAAAGGAGGAGAUACUGCAACGGCUCGAUCGUAGAAAUUCAAAGUAAAAGAAAAUACCAAAAACAAAAUCAUGGAUAAAGGGGCCUGCUCUGACAGCACACCACGCCAACCUCUGUGACCCCUCUAUUGAACUUUGACACCACACCACAGUAAUCUGGAGGGCUCCACCGGAGACUGGAGAUGUGCAGUGAGGAGGAGAAAAAAAAAAGAAGAAGAAGCGACAGCUGGAGGGAAGAGAAUCCAACUACUGCUGAGACACAAGUAACAACUCAGAGGCUCGAGUUACCAGACACCCGCAGCACAGCGGCCGAACAUCUGUCACUUGUUACACACGAGAGAGAAGAAGAAUUGAGGGACUGAAUAAAACCACAGAGUGAAAGAAA